RNAcentral lists this ribosomal RNA (441 nucleotides) under uncultured bacterium. Its description in RNAcentral is "partial 16S ribosomal RNA". It matches the Rfam family "Bacterial small subunit ribosomal RNA", at positions 338 to 795 of the family's 1533-position model. The record is from RNAcentral.
CCUACGGGAGGCAGCAGUGGGGGAUCUUGCACAAUGGGGGGAACCCUGAUGCAGCGACGCCGCGUGGUUGAAGGAGUGCUUCGGCGUGUAAAGCACUAUCGGCAGGGAAGAAGCAAGACGGUACAUGACUAAGAUGCACCGGGUAACUACGUGCGAGCAGCCGCGGUAAUACGUAGGGGGCGAGCGUGAUCCGGAUUCACUGGGUGGAAAGGGAGCGGAGACGGGCAUGCAAGCGCGGGGUGAAAGCCCGGGGCCCAACCGCGAGACUGCACUUGGAACUGCAUGGCGGGAGUGCGGGAGAGGCAGGAGGAAUGCCUGGUGUAGCGGUGAAAUGCGUAGAUAUCAGGAGGAACACCGGCGGCGAAGGCGACCUUCUGGACCGCGACUGACGUUGAGGCGCGAAAGCGUGGGGAGCGAACAGGAUUAGAUACCCCAGUAGUC